RNAcentral lists this long non-coding RNA (254 nucleotides) under Capsella rubella. Its description in RNAcentral is "long non-coding RNA (CRUB_LNC002478)". The record is from RNAcentral. Lineage: Eukaryota; Viridiplantae; Streptophyta; Magnoliopsida; Brassicales; Brassicaceae.
ACGGGUUGAGUACUUAAAUUUUAUAUCACAAUUAUUAUAAAAAAGUUUGCAUACUUUAUGCAUUGGAUAUUGCAGUUUUUAUAUCUAUUAAUAAAUGUCUACAUCCACAAAUUCACCGUAAUAAUAUAAGCAAAUAACAAAGAGAUUAUCACAAGCAAAACAGUUGGUGUAAUAUCGAUAGCAAUACCGAACGCUAAUUUCAAGUCAAAUAAAAGCAUUGCCACAUAUGGAACCUUUACGAAGUAAAAUUUUCC